UCUGUGGUCUACUGGGCUCGCGAUCGGGAUCUCCAGUACCUCAAGUGGCAGAAUUUUUCCCCACUCAAAACUUCAAUUUCCUUCUUCUUCUUGGCUGCCAAGAGCUUCCCCAAGUGAUAUAGUCAAAGUUUAAUGAAAGGGGUUAGGGUUUAGUGGUGGAAACAAAGGAGAAAGGAAGCUUUGGUUGAAAAUCAAUGGAGGUUUGGCUAUGGGAAUUGAGAGUUACGGGUGAACUUUGUAAAAGUGAUGGCUGCUGGAAUUUUAGGAGCUUUUGUUGUGUUUUUAUACAUAUUUUAUUAGUUAAUUUAAGUGUUGACUAAAUGUGAUUGGUGGGUAACUCUUAGAUGACAUCAUAUGAUGUCAAAAUUGACAUUUAUUCUCAUUUUUCUUUUCUCUUCUUCUCUACU
This 407-nucleotide unclassified non-coding RNA is filed under the name Hevea brasiliensis (rubber tree). The record is from RNAcentral. Lineage: Eukaryota; Viridiplantae; Streptophyta; Magnoliopsida; Malpighiales; Euphorbiaceae.